CCUACUGCUAUCGGGGUGGGACUAAGACAUGCGAGUCGUGCGUCUCUAAGCUAUGGUAGAGACGCGGCAUACGGCUCAGUAACACGUGGCUAACCUAGCCUUAGGACGGGAACACCCCCCGGAAACUGGGGUUAAUACCCGAUGGAUGAGGAGGCCUGGAAUGGUUCUUCACCGAAAAGACGUCGAGACCAUGCUUCCAACGUCGCCUGAGGAUGGGGCCGCGUCCGAUCAGGUUGUUGGUGUGGUAACGGCUCACCAAGCCUAUAACCGGUACGGGCCGUGAGAGCGGAAGCCCGGAGAUGGGCACUGAGAUAAGGGCCCAGGCCCUACGGGGCGCAGCAGUCGCGAAAACUCCGCAAUGCGCGAAAGCGUGACGGGGCUACCCCGAGUGCCGUCCGCUGAGGAUGGCUUUUCCCCGGUGUAAUGAGCCGGGGGAAUAAGGAGAGGGCAAGCCUGGUGUCAGCCGCCGCGGUAAUACCAGCUCUCCGAGUGGUAGGGACAAUUAUUGGGCUUAAAGCGUCCGUAGCCGGCCCGGCAAGUCUCCCGUUAAAUCCAGCGACCUAAUCGUUGGGCUGCGGAAGAUACUGUUGGGCUAGGGGGCGGGAGAGGCCGACGGUAUUCCUGGGGUAGGGGUGAAAUCCUAUAAUCCCGGGAGGACCACCAGUGGCGAAGCUGUCGGCUAGAACGCGCUCGACGGUGAGGGACGAAAGCUGGGGGAGCGAACCGGAUUAGAUACCCGGGUAGUCCCAGCUGUAAACGAUGCGGGCUAGGUGUUGGGGUGGUUACGAACCACUUCA
This 797-nucleotide ribosomal RNA is filed under the name uncultured archaeon. RNAcentral's name for it is "bacterial SSU rRNA". It matches the Rfam family "Archaeal small subunit ribosomal RNA", at positions 23 to 797 of the family's 1478-position model. The record is from RNAcentral.